CCCUAGCCCAGAUAGAAGUGAAAAUCCUUUAUGUUUUUUCUUUAAAAACAUAAAGAUUGUAACGGAUAGCUGGAAAUAGC
Molecule: small RNA, 80 nt
Filed under: Flavobacterium sp. 103
Lineage: Bacteria; Pseudomonadati; Bacteroidota; Flavobacteriia; Flavobacteriales; Flavobacteriaceae
Description: Flavo-1 RNA
Rfam family: Flavo-1 RNA
Source: RNAcentral